RNAcentral lists this transfer RNA (87 nucleotides) under Thermochaetoides thermophila DSM 1495. Its description in RNAcentral is "Chaetomium thermophilum var. thermophilum DSM 1495 tRNA". It matches the Rfam family "tRNA". From Rfam's summary of the family: Transfer RNA (tRNA) molecules are approximately 80 nucleotides in length. Their secondary structure includes four short double-helical elements and three loops (D, anti-codon, and T loops). Further hydrogen bonds mediate the characteristic L-shaped molecular structure. tRNAs have two regions of fundamental functional importance: the anti-codon, which is responsible for specific mRNA codon recognition, and the 3' end, to which the tRNAs corresponding amino acid is attached (by aminoacyl-tRNA synthetases). tRNAs cope with the degeneracy of the genetic code in two manners: having more than one tRNA (with a specific anti-codon) for a particular amino acid; and 'wobble' base-pairing, i.e. permitting non-standard base-pairing at the 3rd anti-codon position. Lineage: Eukaryota; Fungi; Ascomycota; Sordariomycetes; Sordariales; Chaetomiaceae. The record is from Rfam by way of RNAcentral.
AGGUGCAUGGUCUAGUGGUAUGAUUUUCGCUUCGCAUUCUGAAAUGCGCUCUGUGAAAGGUCCCCGGUUCGAUCCCGGGUGCAUCCA